RNAcentral lists this long non-coding RNA (1283 nucleotides) under Capra hircus (goat). RNAcentral describes it as "lncRNA (ENSCHIG00000001280.1)". Lineage: Eukaryota; Metazoa; Chordata; Mammalia; Artiodactyla; Bovidae. The record is from RNAcentral.
CAUGGAAUAACUGAAUCAAGCUUACAACCAUUCCAAAAUAUAGACAAGAAAAAUACUUGGCUUGUAACCAGUAGAGAUGAUAACAGCUUCAUCUACUUUACCAGUUUGUCUCUACUACCCUCUAGUGGAACUGUAGUCAUAAUAGCCUUACAGCAUUGCCUCCAGAUUUAACACACACACACGUGCACGCACAUACACGUGCACGCACACACACGUGCACGCACACACACGUGCACGCUUGUAUGCGUGUAGAGCAUGUGUGCACGUGUGAGUGUGUGUGUGUGUGUAGAGAUUUAUAAAUUUCUGCCUUGUAGAGUUGGUCCCAGCCUUGAAUAUGAGAAAUGCCCGGAGGGAGUUAUCUUUUAACUGGCAUUCUUGUUCCUCUUCCUGGUGGCUCAGAAGGUUCCUCCCUGCGGCAUGUUAGUUCCCUGACCAGGGAUCAAACCUGCGCCUCUUGCAGUGGAAACAAGGAAUCAAUCGCUGAAACACCAAGAAAGUUCCCUAGUUCUAAAAUACUGUUGCAAAGCUGAACCUCUUCCGAGCAGCCUCUCAGAAGAGCAUUCAGGGCUCUUUUAGAUUCUGACUCCAAAUUCCCUUCCCUGCUUAACACCUAAGGGGCCCUCUACCCUCUGAUCAAGGCACCCUAAAUUAUAUGGGCAGACUUCAGGGCUUUACUCAUACAACUUCUGCCUGGAAGGCCUGCCUCACCAUUCCUUCUCCAGUGUUCCUAGAGAAUGUCAUAUCCAAUGUUUCUUCAAAUGUCACAUCCUCUUUUUGAAUGGGUAAUUUCCUCCUCUAUGUUCUCAUGUCACCUUAGAGCAUAAGUUACAGCGUAAGUGCCAGAAGCAAGUUACAAGUAAUGGUUGUGUUCUCCCACUCCCAACAUCUCAAGCAGGAAAAUACCUGACUGAUCUUUGUGACAUUGUAUAGAAGUUGACCCAAUGAACAGUAAAUUGUAUUUGCCAAGAUGAGAGCCUAAAUUUAGAAUAACCCCUGAACCCUUGUGGCUCAGCUGGUGAAGAUUCCCCCUCAGUGCGGAAGACCUGGGUUCGAUCCCUGCAUUGGGAAGAUUCCUCUGGAGAACGGAAAGGCUACCCACUCCAGUAUUCUGGCCUGGAAAAUUCCAUGGACUGUAUAGUCCAUGGGGUCGCAAAGAGUUAAACAUGACUGAGUGACUUGCACUUCGCUUCAUCCCACCUGAAACUUUAAAAGAUAACUAAAAACAAAUAAAAACAAGCUGCAAAAAUAGAGAAAGAUAACUGAGUUAAAUUUAAAUAAAAAUC